GAUGAACGCUGGCGGCGUGCUUAACACAUGCAAGUCGAACGGGGCACCCCCAAAGGAGUUUUCGGACAACUGCGGGGAAUGCCUAGUGGCGGACGGGUGAGUAACGCGUGAGCAACCUGCCUUGGAGUGGGGAAUAACAGAUGGAAACAUCUGCUAAUACCGCAUAAUGCAGUUGGGCCACAUGGCUCUGACUGCCAAAGAUUUAUCGCUCUGAGAUGGGCUCGCGUCUGAUUAGCUAGUUGGUGGGGCAACGGCCCACCAAGGCGACGAUCAGUAGCCGGACUGAGAGGUUGGCCGGCCACAUUGGGACUGAGACACGGCCCAG
RNAcentral lists this ribosomal RNA (325 nucleotides) under uncultured bacterium. Its description in RNAcentral is "bacterial SSU rRNA". It matches the Rfam family "Bacterial small subunit ribosomal RNA", at positions 28 to 334 of the family's 1533-position model. The record is from RNAcentral.